Molecule: ribosomal RNA, 866 nt
Filed under: Rhodococcus sp. (in: high G+C Gram-positive bacteria)
Lineage: Bacteria; Bacillati; Actinomycetota; Actinomycetes; Mycobacteriales; Nocardiaceae
Description: bacterial SSU rRNA
Rfam family: Bacterial small subunit ribosomal RNA
Source: RNAcentral
GUGGGGGUGCGCGUGCUACCAUGCAGUCGAGCGGUAAGGCCUUUCGGGGUACACGAGCGGCGAACGGGUGAGUAACACGUGGGUGAUCUGCCCUGCACUUCGGGAUAAGCCUGGGAAACUGGGUCUAAUACCGGAUAUGACCUCCUGUUGCAUGGUUUGUGGUGGAAAGAUUUAUCGGUGCAGGAUGGGCCCGCGGCCUAUCAGCUUGUUGGUGGGGUAAUGGCCUACCAAGGCGACGACGGGUAGCCGACCUGAGAGGGUGACCGGCCACACUGGGACUGAGACACGGCCCAGACUCCUACGGGAGGCAGCAGUGGGGAAUAUUGCACAAUGGGCGAAAGCCUGAUGCAGCGACGCCGCGUGAGGGAUGACGGCCUUCGGGUUGUAAACCUCUUUCAGCAGGGACGAAGCGCAAGUGACGGUACCUGCAGAAGAAGCACCGGCUAACUACGUGCCAGCAGCCGCGGUAAUACGUAGGGUGCAAGCGUUGUCCGGAAUUACUGGGCGUAAAGAGUUCGUAGGCGGUUUGUCGCGUCGUUUGUGAAAACCAGCAGCUCAACUGCUGGCUUGCAGGCGAUACGGGCAGACUUGAGUACUGCAGGGGAGACUGGAAUUCCUGGUGUAGCGGUGAAAUGCGCAGAUAUCAGGAGGAACACCGGUGGCGAAGGCGGGUCUCUGGGCAGUAACUGACGCUGAGGAACGAAAGCGUGGGUAGCGAACAGGAUUAGAUACCCUGGUAGUCCACGCCGUAAACGGUGGGCGCUAGGUGUGGGUUCCUUCCACGGAAUCCGUGCCGUAGCUAACGCAUUAAGCGCCCCGCCUGGGGAGUACGGCCGCAAGGCUAAAACUCAGGGAAUUUGGACGGA